RNAcentral lists this ribosomal RNA (468 nucleotides) under uncultured bacterium. Its description in RNAcentral is "partial 16S ribosomal RNA". It matches the Rfam family "Bacterial small subunit ribosomal RNA", at positions 28 to 507 of the family's 1533-position model. The record is from RNAcentral.
GACGAACGCUGGCGGCGUGCUUAACACAUGCAAGUCGAACGGAAAGGCCCUGCUUUUGUGGGGUGCUCGAGUGGCGAACGGGUGAGUAACACGUGAGUAACCUGCCCUUGACUUUGGGAUAACUUCAGGAAACUGGGGCUAAUACCGGAUAGGAGCUCCUGCUGCAUGGGGGGGGUUGGAAAGUUUCGGCGGUUGGGGAUGGACUCGCGGCUUAUCAGCUUGUUGUUGGGGUAGUGGCUUACCAAGGCUUUGACGGGUAGCCGGCCUGGGAGGGUGACCGGCCACAUUGGGACUGAGAUACGGCCCAGACUCCUACGGGAGGCAGCAGUGGGGAAUAUUGCACAAUGGGCGGAAGCCUGAUGCAGCAACGCCGCGUGCGGGAUGACGGCCUUCGGGUUGUAAACCGCUUUCGCCUGUGACGAAGCGUGAGUGACGGUAAUGGGUAAAGAAGCACCGGCUAACUACGUG